CUCCUGCACUCGAUCCUGGCUCUAUUACACGGGACCGGUUGCCCCGUCCGCUGCUAGGCCUUCGGGUCUACAGUAGACAUCUUAACGGGCCGUCCGUGGGUGUUACUGUGAACAAAACAGCGUGUUCAAAACAAGCGGGGCUUGCCUCUUGCUUGAAUGAUCUAGCAUGGAAUAACAGGGGAGUGACCUCUUGGUUGCCUCUUCCGUUUGUUGGUUUUGACAGCCGAACAGGGUAACGUAAGACCGGCGUGCCGUGCGGUUGGAUUAGGUGUAUGAGUGUAUUGGAUUGUAUAUCUUCUGUCUCCUCCGUAUCUCUUUAUUGGGUUCUGGUAUCCCGUGUUGUGGUUCUGUUGUGUGUGCGGCUUGCGACUGUGUAUAUCCAAAUUGCAUUCGGAUUGAGUGUGGGGUAUUUGUUGUUCAAUGUGUUCUUCUCUGGAAAGGGAUGAAUGUGUUGUGCAGCAGUGCUUUACAUACGAGGUCCUUCUGUAAGAUGGUGUUCCACAUGUUUGUGAGACGUACGUUAAUACAUUGCAGAUCAAUGACAUUGGAGAAGGGAUCUGUUUAUAAUGAAGGGAAUAUGGGUGUUGUGCAGUUGUAUAUGAGACGAUAUUACGAGUCGCUUACAUUCCAGCCGUGCGGCCCCUGUCUCCAUCCAGGAUAAAUCGGGGCACACGGUGAGAUACGUAUUGUGGCGCUAGUGGUGAAAUACUUAGACCGUCACAAGACGAACAUCUGCGAAAGCAUUUCUCAAGCAUGCCUUCUUCAAUCAAGAGCGAUAGCAUGGGGAUCUAAGAUGAUCAGAUACCGUUGUAGUCCAUGCUGUAAACGCUGCCAGCGAGGCUUCGGACGUCAGAUCUGGCAUCCCGACUCGUCCGGCGCCUUCCCCCAUAACGAGAAAUCCGAGCCUGGGUUCCGGGGGGAGUACGUCCGCAAGGCCGAAACUUAAAGGAAUUGACGGAAUGGCACCACAAGGCGUGGAGUGUGCGGCUUAAUUUGACUCAACACGGGAAACCUCGCCAGGUCCGGACUCACUGAGGAUUGACAGAUUGAGAGCUCUUUCUUGAUCGUGAGGGUGGUGGUGCAUGGCCGUGCUGGGUUGGUGGAGUGAUUUGUCUGCUUAAUUGCGAUAACGAACGAGAUCACAACCUCUCACUCGGGCUCUGCUUCGCACUUAUGUAGGGGUGGUCCUGUUGUUCGCUUUCCGAUUCGUCGGGGGAGGGCACUGGUCCAAUUUUACGCCCCGAGAGGCAGGGACUCCAAGCCUUAGAGGGACUGGCGGUGCCCCCUCAACCCCCGGAAGAAUGUGCCUUUCACAGGUCUGUGAUGCUCCGCAAUGUUCUGGACUGCACGCGCACUACACUGGCAUGGUCAACGAGCGACCGACCGCAUUCUUGCGGUUCCUAAUUGGAAGCGAUUUGGAAAUCUUAGCAAACCGUGUCGUGAUCGGGGAUAGGUGAUUGCAAUUAUUCGUCCUGAACGAGGAAUGCCCAGUAAGGGUGAGUCAUCAGCUCACCCUGAUUGCGUCCCUGGCAUUUGUACACACCGCCCGUCGUUGUCAUCGACUGGCUGGAUAACAGAGGUCUUGGGAGACUACGGUUAGAAGUUCGCUUCUCUCCGUCCCGCAAGGGGUUGGUCAAACUUGCCCAAUGUUGUUCAGCUGAAGAUGAUAAAAGUCGUAACAAGGUAGCUGUAGGUGA
Molecule: ribosomal RNA, 1697 nt
Filed under: Serpenomonas costata
Lineage: Eukaryota; Euglenozoa; Stavomonadea; Heterostavida; Serpenomonadidae
Description: partial small subunit ribosomal RNA
Rfam family: Eukaryotic small subunit ribosomal RNA
Source: RNAcentral